GCUGGACGGGGAGAAGUGGAUCGACGGGCGCUUGGAGGAGCUGUACCGUGGCAGGGAGGCAGACAUGCCCGAUGAAGUCAACAUCGAUGAACUGCUGGAAUUAGAGAGUGAAGAGGAGAGAAGCCGGAAAAUUCAGGGACUCCUAAAGUCAUGCACGAACCCCACAGAGGUGAGCCCCAUUCUGCCCCCUGAUGGGGGGAGGGGGAGAGGUCUCUGGGGAGGAGGGAAGAAGCUGGCCCACGGCAGGCAGAGGGACGUCUGGGAGCCCUGCCUGUCACAGCCCUGUCCUCCCCUCCAGCGGUGUCUUUUGUCUUCCUCAUUCCUGUCCCCUCUCCCCCAUCUGCCACUGGGCUCCAUUAUCUCCUCUCCGCUGAGACCCCCCCAUCUGUCUCCCAUUUCUGCCUCUGCAGGGCUCUGUCUGCCGUCCCCUCUCCCCUGUUGCUACCUCUACCGCCCUGGGGCUCCCUUCCCCACCUCUGGGGGGGCCCCCCAUCCUUCCAGGCCCUGAAGCUGAGUGGCCCAACCCCUCCCACUUCCUUCCCUGCUUUAAAAGGGAAAAAUAUUCAUGUUUCUCUCACCAGCUCUGGGCUGCGUGGGGGACAAACGUCACCGGCUCAGGCCUCCGUCCCUGGGGACCCUCCUGGUGAUCUCUUGGCCUGAGAAAUAUCUCAGUGGCUCUCUGGCUCUGGUUCUUUGUCCCUUCGUCUUUCCCUCUGUCUCUAUCUCUGCAUCUGUUUCUUUCAGUCUCAGCUCCAAGUCUCCGUCUGUGUCUUUCUCUCCCCCCUCACGUUUCUCUGUCUUUGCAUCCAUGUCUCUCUCUCUCUUUUUUUUUUUUUUUGCUUUUCAGGGCUGCACCCGUGGCAUAUGGGGGUUCCCAGGCCAGGGGUCUAAUCAGAGUUCCAGCUGCCAGCCUACACCACAG
Molecule: long non-coding RNA, 922 nt
Filed under: Sus scrofa (pig)
Lineage: Eukaryota; Metazoa; Chordata; Mammalia; Artiodactyla; Suidae
Description: lncRNA (ENSSSCG00005045727.1)
Source: RNAcentral